Molecule: ribosomal RNA, 659 nt
Filed under: uncultured bacterium
Lineage: Bacteria
Description: bacterial SSU rRNA
Rfam family: Bacterial small subunit ribosomal RNA
Source: RNAcentral
AGUGGCGGACGGGUGAGUAACGCGUGAGAAUCUGCCUUGGGGUCGGGGACAACCACUGGAAACGGUGGCUAAUACCGGAUAAGCCGAUUGGUGAAAGAUUUAUUGCCCGAAGAGGAGCUCGCGUCUGAUUAGCUAGUUGGUGAGGUAAGAGCUCACCAAGGCAGCGAUCAGUAGCUGGUCUGAGAGGACGAUCAGCCACACUGGGACUGAGACACGGCCCAGACUCCUACGGGAGGCAGCAGUGGGGAAUUUUCCGCAAUGGGCGAAAGCCUGACGGAGCAAGACCGCGUGAGGGAGGAAGGCUCUUGGGUUGUAAACCUCUUUCUCAGGGAAGAAGCUCUGACGGUACCUGAGGAAUCAGCCUCGGCUAACUCCGUGCCAGCAGCCGCGGUAAUACGGAGGAGGCAAGCGUUAUCCGGAAUUAUUGGGCGUAAAGCGUCCGCAGGUGGCGAUUCAAGUCUGCUGUCAAAGCACGGGGCUUAACUCCGUAAAGGCAGUGGAAACUGAAUAGCUAGAGUGCCGUAGGGGUAGAGGGAAUUCCCGGUGUAGCGGUGAAAUGCGUAGAGAUCGGGAAGAACAUCGGUGGCGAAAGCGCUCUACUGGACGGCAACUGACACUCAGGGACGAAAGCUAGGGGAGCGAAUGGGAUUAGAUACCCC